Molecule: ribosomal RNA, 208 nt
Filed under: uncultured Caryophanaceae bacterium
Lineage: Bacteria; Bacillati; Bacillota; Bacilli; Caryophanales; Caryophanaceae
Description: uncultured Planococcaceae bacterium partial 16S ribosomal RNA
Rfam family: Bacterial small subunit ribosomal RNA
Source: RNAcentral
GCCUAUGAGACUGGGAUAACUCCGGGAAACCGGGGCUAAUACCGGAUAAUUCUUUUCUACACAUGUAGAAAAGCUGAAAGAUGGUUUCGGCUAUCACUCAUAGAUGGGCCCGCGGCGCAUUAGCUAGUUGGUGAGGUAACGGCUCACCAAGGCGACGAUGCGUAGCCGACCUGAGAGGGUGAUCGGCCACACUGGGACUGAGACACGG